GGAGACAUUAUCUGCACAAUCUCACUGCAUCUGCCUCGUCUCAUCUCCGAAGACCACAGCGGCUGAGAGCAGAAAGAUCACCAGCAGGGACGGGUGGCUCAGUACCUCACAGAAGCAAGUCCUGCCUUUGGAAAGGAAGUUCUUUACUAUUUUGAUAUGAAAUAUGCCUGCUUAGUUCUCAGAGCAAGAGUGUCAAGAGUACACAGCCCAAGAGGCCCGGUGGAAGCUGCAGCCUUCUUACCUUCUUAUGUUGGAGAUGGGAAGCCCCAGAAUGUCCCUUCCACAGCGUUCUGUGGUCGGCAAGUCACCAAGCCAGCCUGGAUUCCAGGAAGCAGAAAGGGAGUUCCCUUCCGCCUCCCUAAUGCCAUGGAAUGGGGAAGGGUACAACUCUAGGAUCAGACCCAAAGGGAACUGUUGUGAAUCUUGAUUUUGUGACUUCUUGGCUAUUGGAUUUGGGCCAAUUAUUUGUCAUCUCUGUACCUUAAUUUACUCAUCUAUGAAAGAAGGACUAAAAAUACUUAUCAUAGGAGAAGACAAUAUGUAAGCCACUUGGCAAUGUGCCUGGGACCUAGUGAGCGAUUCUUCUCACUUAUUAUUGUUUUCGUCAUCAUCGACAUCAUCGUCACCAUUACUUUUCAUUGUCUUUGGAAAUUUGGACAGAGACCACAGGCAGAUGCGGUGCCGUAUUCCCACAGGGCUGGAGCAGCGGGUGUGUUUUUCUGUGAUAGCAGCGCUUCCCGGAACCAGCAGGGAUGACACGGCAGUUAGGAGCUUCUCUGGGGCCUUCAGGCAGACGGUCUGGGCUGUGUCCUGGCUGUGCCUUUUCCCAGCCCUACCUGCAGUCCUACACAUCUUCUCCACCUCCAGCGGCUUCUCCUUCUCACAUCCACCCUCUGCGAAGGCAUAAAUAGUAGCAACUCCCUUCUGGAUUCUAUGAGGUGAUAAUUACAUGAGAUGGCAGAGCCUGGAGCACGGGAGCUCCUCAGUGACUCAGUCAUGUUCAUUCCAAGGAGUUCAGGGUCCUUGCCGUCUGCAAACCUUUCCCCUUAUUUUCAAGAUCCUUGAGUCUGACUGUCAAGCAGUAACAUUCCAGCCUCAACUACAACAAUACUUGUAGAUGAAUGGAGCUUCCACUGGACCCCAUGUCACUGGUGAGGGACUUCAGGCAGAGAGAAAGCUCAUCCUUUGCCCAAGGUCACACCGCUGGUAAAAAGCAAAUGAAGUUCAAACUGACCUCCUCAUCCCUGCCCUUGUCCUCCCAACAGGCUCCUCACAGGUGGAAAAAUCAACCCCUACAGCAAACUCAUUGUUUUUUUGACCUCUCCUAAAAUUAAAAUCCAAGAUCCCUCAU
Homo sapiens (human) is the source of this 1351-nucleotide long non-coding RNA. Ensembl annotates it as long intergenic non-protein coding RNA 2368. NCBI's taxonomy places the organism in Eukaryota, Metazoa, Chordata, Mammalia, Primates, Hominidae. The record is from Ensembl.